AUACGGAGGAUCCGAGCGUUAUCCGGAUUUAUUGGGUUUAAAGGGUGCGCAGGCGGCCAUUUAAGUCAGCGGUUAAAUCGUGGGGCUCAACCCCAUUCUGCCGUUGAUACUGGGUGGCUUGAUUGCGGUCGAGGUUGGCGGAAUUCGUUGUGUAGCGGGGCAAUGCAUAGAUAUGAAGAAAAACACCGAAUGCGUAGGCAGCUGACCAGACCGCAAAUGACGCUCAUGCACGAAAGUGCGGGGAUCGAACAGGAUUAGAUACCCUGGUAGUCCGCACAGUAAACGAUGAAUACUUGUUUUCGGCGAUAUAAUGUCGGAGGCAAAGCGAAAGCGAUAAGUAUUCCACCUGGGGAGUACGCCGGCAACGGUGAAACUCAAAGGAAUUGGCGGGG
This 392-nucleotide ribosomal RNA is filed under the name uncultured bacterium. RNAcentral's name for it is "partial 16S ribosomal RNA". It matches the Rfam family "Bacterial small subunit ribosomal RNA", at positions 523 to 918 of the family's 1533-position model. The record is from RNAcentral.